Long non-coding RNA from Panthera uncia (snow leopard), 2575 nucleotides. RefSeq lists it as uncharacterized. The record is from RefSeq and is a predicted model, not a curated record. Lineage: Eukaryota; Metazoa; Chordata; Mammalia; Carnivora; Felidae. The transcript is spliced from 2 exons.
GCACACAAGCACAGGAGCAUACUCUCUCUCAAAAAACAACAAUAACAACAAUUUUCCCACUAUUGAUAAAAGAUACUAAAUGAGAGAUUCAAAGAACUGAAGAACUAAGAAAUCAGUGUAUCUGUGGAUAAAUGUAAAUGAACGCUAGUGUAAAAAAUAAUAAUUGUAUACCAAGCAAAACAAAUAGAAUUUAAAUACACAAAACAGUAACAUAUAUAUCAAGCUGGGGAUAAAAGAUCUUUGUAUUAUCCAAGAAAAGGUAAAAGAACGGGUUAACUGCAGACUUCGAUGAGUACUUGUAAAUUCUAAGGUACCAGAAAAUGUUAAAAAUAAUGCACAACUUCUAUUCUACUGAUAGCAAAAAAGAACGUCCUUCUUCUCCAACAAAAAGUUUCAAGGAGAGGGAGGAAUAAUAAAAAGUCACUAGAUAAAAGAUACAUGAAUACCUUUAUGCUAAUAAAUUUUAACAUUUAGACGAAAUGGAAAAGUUCAUGGAAAUUUUUAAUUUAAAUUGACAAAAAAAGUCAGGUUCCUAUAACCUGAAUUAAAAGCCUUUUACAAAGAAGAUUCUGGACUGGACCUAUGUGACUAAUAAUUCAAAAAAGAAAUAAUUAUAAUUUUAAACUCUUCCUGAGAAAAUAAGAGAGCACUGGCCAUCUGGUUUUAUAAUAUAAGCUUUAUACACAACAAAACCCAACAGUCUGAGAAAUAAAAAAUUAUAUACUAAUCUUAUUCAUGAACAAUAGACAGCAAAAUUCCUAAGUAGUAUCAAACAGAAUUACAUGAAAUUAACAAUACAGACACAAAAAACACACGUGUAAAUAACAUAUCAUGCCAACUUGUAUUUAUUAAGAAUGUAAUAAGAGUAUGACUCCAGAAAAUCAAUUAGUAUAAUUAAUUUUAAUAAGAGAUUAGAAACGAUCAUCUUAAAAGAAGCUGAAAAAGUAUUUGGUAAAAUUAAACAGAGAUUCAUGGGGGAGAGGAACUAUCAGCAAACUAAGAAAAGAGAGAGGGAGGUGCCUGGGUGCCUCAGUUCAUUAAGCCUCUGCCGCUUGAUAUCAGCUCAGGUCAUGGUCUCAGAGUUUCGUGGGAUCGAGCCCCACGUCAGACUCUACGCUGACAGCAGAGCCUGCUUGGGAUUCUCUCUCUGCCUCUCUCUCUGCCCCUCCCCAACUUGUGCUCGCGCUCUCUCUCUCUAAAAUAAACUUUAAAAAAAACAGGAGAGAGGAACUUCCUUAGAUGAUAGGUAUCUACAAAACACCUAUGACACACAUAAUCCUUAACACUAAGAGUUUUCCCUUUAAGAAUGGGAACAAGACAAAGGUGCCUACCAACCACUUCUAUUCAACAUUUUAAAAAUGCCAGCCACUGCAGUUAGGGAAACAAAGGAAAUAAAAACUAUACGGAUUGGAAAGGAAGAAACAAAAUUCUCUUUAGUCUCAAAAGGUGUGCCUGUAUUCACAGAAGUUGCCACUCUGUCAUAACAACAAGUAUAAGACUGAACAAACUGAAAAAUAACUCUUCUUAGAUACUUCAGAGAAAUGAGGUCACAAGGAAAACUACUGUCACAAAACCUGGAGAUAGGCAGAUACAGACAAUCACAAAUUGCCUGGGCAGAAACCUCUGUGGGAACAGUGCCCAGUUAUAGUAAAAAAUCAGCCAACAGAAGAAAAAGAGAAAAAGGCAGGAAGAAAGAAGAGGUUUACUAAUCGUAAGUAAGCACAGAUGUAAUGGGUUAAAUCAGUAAAGCUUUGUGAUGACAGUAAAACCAGUGAUGCUCAGCAAUGAUCACUCAAAUGAGUUAGUCAGCUGAAACAUGCUGCUGCAUACUAAGUCCUAAAGAAAGGGGAGCCAAUAAUUAAGAAAGCAUUCCUAACUGAAAUAUAUAAUUAAUUUGGCUAUUUUAAUACUGCUAUAAAUAUGUCUCUUAAUAACUACUAAUUACAAAAAAUAAGUACAAAUUACAAAAGAACGGAUACAGAAAAACAGCCACUCAGUACAUAUUCAUUCAUUUGAAUUUAAGUAUUGAGUGUCAGACAAUGGAACGCUAUUAUAGACCCUGGCCUAUAAAUAAGAGGUAGACUAGAUUUUUUUUCAGAAAGUGCCUCAUGGUCCUAAACUAGAGACAAAAGGGGUCCUACCUGUACAAGAAGAGGAGGCAGAUAAGCACAGGAUGCUAUGGGAGCACAUUCAGGUUUUCCAAAUCUGUUGAACUUUCUCAAACAUCUCUUUCUAAAAAGAAAUACUUCUAAACAGGAGCAGGUGCAAAUAAAGCUACCAAUGGCUAAUUAAACUAAGCCCCCCUUCCCCACCCUCUAGGCUUUUAGGAAUAAAGAUAUAUAUAUAUAUAUAUAUAUAUAUAAAGUGUGAAAAUGAUAAGGCAGCUUUGACACAGCACAAACACAAAGGUUACUUGUACCCACUAUUCUGUUGCAGAUGGUUUCGAACACAACACUGACAUUAUACUUAUGCCAGAAGUAAACCACAUUCAUGUGUAUGUAUACGUAUUACACAAAAAUAUACCUUCUUUGCCAGUUAACUGUAGAGACUUGGAUCUGAUGAGUGGGAAUGAGGU